RNAcentral lists this ribosomal RNA (497 nucleotides) under uncultured bacterium. RNAcentral's name for it is "partial 16S ribosomal RNA". It matches the Rfam family "Bacterial small subunit ribosomal RNA", at positions 28 to 507 of the family's 1533-position model. The record is from RNAcentral.
GAUGAACGCUGGCGGCGUGCCUAAUACAUGCAAGUCGAGCGAACAGACGAGAAGCUUGCUUCUCUGACGUUAGCGGCGGACGGGUGAGUAACACGUGGAUAACCUACCUAUAAGACUGGGAUAACUUCGGGAAACCGGAGCUAAUACCGGAUAAUAUUUUGAACCGCAUGGUUCAAUAGUGAAAGACGGUCUUGCUGUCACUUAUAGAUGGAUCCGCGCUGCAUUAGCUAGUUGGUAAGGUAACGGCUUACCAAGGCAACGAUGCAUAGCCGACCUGAGAGGGUGAUAGGCCACACUGGAACUGAGACACGGUCCAGACUCCUACGGGAGGCAGCAGUAGGGAAUCUUCCGCAAUGGGCGAAAGCCUGACGGAGCAACGCCGCGUGAGUGAUGAAGGUCUUCGGAUCGUAAAACUCUGUUAUUAGGGAAGAACAGAUGUGUAAGUAACUGUGCACAUCUUGACGGUACCUAAUCAGAAAGCCACGGCUAACUACGUG